CGCACACCAGAGCCCCGACAGCCUGUUGCCAUUUCCUUUCCCUUUCUCGAGCGAGCGGUUGGCGGCGGUGGUGGCGGUGCUGGAUUCCGGGGGUUUGCGGCGGUGGUGCUGCAGUUCGUUGGUCACGAGCCGUUGGCAGCCGCUGGUUCUCCUCCUCUCCCAACCUCCCCCGCACCACGUCCGUGAACUGCGUCGCGGCUUCGGCGGCUGCGAUUUCCAGGCGGCAAGCGGUGUGUGGCAGCACCAAGCGGCGGAAUCAGCGGGAUAACGUGUUCUUCGAGGCGGGAUGCGGCAGUCUCGAGCGACGGCAGCAGCGGUUCGGGCACGGCUUUAGUCUGUUGCAGGCUGCGAUGGAUGGGAGGCUCCCCCGAGCCUACGCGUGGCUCUCCGUAUAGGGCACAACUUCCUUAGUACAUUUAAAUUCCACAAGUGCAACAUCAAAAGGCCUUUUUCCUGCUGAGAUUGAAGAACUUGCUCCAGUCUAGCUGCAAACCCUGUGGACAUGGCACCGCUUGCUACUUCUUCGCCUCAUGUGCACAACACUCCAUGUACAUAGCUUCAUGUGAAUGGCUCCAACAAGUGUAUAAUAAGACAAGCCAU
Molecule: long non-coding RNA, 600 nt
Organism: Panicum virgatum (switchgrass)
Lineage: Eukaryota; Viridiplantae; Streptophyta; Magnoliopsida; Poales; Poaceae
Exons: 2
Source: RefSeq, a predicted model, not a curated record